AUGCUAAACGGGUUAUUCUCAGGUCGACUAUUUAUUCACUCACCAUCGCAUGAGAAAAGGGCGGUAUUAGGGAUGCCUAGUCCCAAACUGCAAAAUACAAAAAGAGUUAAGCGCUCGAAUAAUCAAACAAAAACUCCCAACAGAGUCAAAACCUUUACUUUUAUCGCUUGGGAACUGCCACUAGCUUGUUUAGCAUGGGAGAUAUUGAUAACUGAUAGUCGUGAAGUAAAUGAGAAGGGUCCAUGUCCCAAAAUAAUCAUUUACCUCUGUUUUAAAAAUAGAGCUCUGGCACCUCUGCAAAUCACUGCUUCCCUCUGCGAAGGGACUAUCUAUUUACUUUUAUGUUGUGUCACCACCUUCUAA
This 363-nucleotide ribosomal RNA is filed under the name Triticum aestivum (bread wheat). RNAcentral's name for it is "partial small subunit ribosomal RNA". Lineage: Eukaryota; Viridiplantae; Streptophyta; Magnoliopsida; Poales; Poaceae. The record is from RNAcentral.